Molecule: long non-coding RNA, 1077 nt
Filed under: Scophthalmus maximus (turbot)
Lineage: Eukaryota; Metazoa; Chordata; Actinopteri; Pleuronectiformes; Scophthalmidae
Description: lncRNA (ENSSMAG00000036080.1)
Source: RNAcentral
UACGUGCACACAAUUAUAUUUAUUUUGUCAUGCAUAUUAUGAACAUUUUAUGUUACUAACAGUGUUAUAAUAUCAUAUUUCAAAAAUAAUAAUGUUAUUUUGUGCUAAUUGUAAGACUUGACGCUUUUAUUUUGAAGCGUGAUCCUGCUGAAACAGGAAGUGCUCAUUUUAUUUUUGGUCUUUCCGGCCCCCUCGUUAACCGCAGCGCGUCCGGUGUUUACGUGCUGGGGUCACGCACAAGUGACGCUCAUCAAUAAUAAUCUGCGGCAGCGUCCAGAUAUUAACGGAAGAGACAGAGAGAAGGGAGAGAGAGAGAAUUGACCGAUUCCCCGGGAAGAAACCAUCCCGGCGGGCAGCGAGGAGGAGCGGCCGGAGGAGAGGACCGAUCCUCCGCAUCUUCUCAGCUCGUCUUCACAGACAGACAGGUAGUCAUGCAGACAGACAGGUGUCCACCUAACGUGACUGAGGCUAAUCAGCUUUAAGCAGCAGCUCCAUCAGAUGACGACGGUCCCUCCGCCCAUGGCCUCCUCCAGGUGACCUCCAGUGACCUCAGUCACUCCUGACUGUAAUCCCUGAUCCAUCAGCAGACGAGGUGAGACCACACACACACAAACAAACCUCUAGGUGUACAGCCACACUACAAGGUUUUCCCUGCUGCAACGUUUAUAUUCAUUUAUGUUAUUUAUAUGAAAGGGGCAGGCAACAUUAAGAAGUGUUUUUAUGUAAAAUGUAAAUAUAUAUAUGAUACAUCGGACCAUUAGAGCUGCUAUAAUUCAGUGAAUCAGUUGAUUGACAAAGAAAUUAUUCAGCCAGUGUUUUGAUAAUCAAUUAUCUUUUCAAGCAAAAAGAAGAAAAACUUUGGCUGAUUCUUUUGUUAUAUAUAUAUAUACAUAUAAUCUAUAGUCUGUAAUCAGCCUGUGGUCAGAGAAGACGUCAGUGAGUAAAUCCUCGUCCUCUGCAUCAUUCAGAGAUACGUCAGCGAGCCUGAGUCUCAGGUGUUUGAUGCUCGCACGAGAAGAAGCAGCUCCUUUUCAACACCACUUCAGAGAAUCUGAGCUAAUUUUAUUUCUUUUGCUA